Long non-coding RNA from Lonchura striata (white-rumped munia), 1672 nucleotides. Lineage: Eukaryota; Metazoa; Chordata; Aves; Passeriformes; Estrildidae. The record is from Ensembl.
ACCACCUUGCCAUCCAUCAGUAGCCUCUGAACUGGGCACAGAUGGGUCCUCCAGAUGCCUUGGCCCUGGGAUGCAAAAGCUGCUGCUGGGACAGGCAGGUGGCCAGAGAGGUGAAAGCACAGCCUCUGUGGGCUUGAUGGCCAGGAGUCCCUCCCCAAUCUUUGUCACUGUCCCAGGGCCUGGUGUGAGGCUUGCUCAGCCUGAGGGCCAUGUCAGCAGAGGCUCUGGGGUGACACCAGCUUCCCUGUCUGACACCAGAGAGGUGCACGAGGUGCCUGUGCAGCAUCAGGAGAGUGCUGCUAGUGACAAACCAGCUCCUGUCUCCAGCUUCGGGAUGUUUAAAAUUCAGGGAGCCACAGAAGCUGUGCAAGUGGGUGCAGGACAGAGAACAACUGCCUCCUUCAGCACCACUCCUGCACACCCUGCUCUGCCUGCAGCUCCGUGGGGAGAAACACUGCCAAGAGACCAAAAGCCUUGGGAGCCCUCUGGUGUAGCCAGGAGCACCCAGGUGCCAGAAGGACAGCAAGGGAAACACGCUGAUGUGUCAGAGCUGGGCCCUCCCUGGGUAACCGAGUACUUUCCCAUCAGGAGCUGCCACCUCAUCUUCCGGGGUGGGUCGGGCCUGUUUUACCUCCCGCUGCACGCUGACAUCAAACCCAACAUCUGGUGCAACUGGACCAUCUGGGCAGGCCCCCAGAAGCACAUUGUCAUCUAUGUCCAAGGGUUCCAGGGCAGCCAUGGCUGUGGCCACAACCAGGACAAGAUCAUCUUCCAGGGGGUCUCGUCCAGCGUGGAAACCAAAGUGGUGUUUGCCUGCCACAACCGAGGCACUCUGAUCUUUGCCGCACGAGCCACUGAGGUCCAGGUGUUGUUUCUGUCAGGCAGUGGCUUCAGAAACCAUGAAUACAGGUAUUUUAGAGGCCAGUAUUAUGUAUUCAGAGAUUCUGAAACUGUGGGUCUGUCAAGCAAUGCCACAGCAGCUCCCCAGGAGACCUCUAAAAAAGAGAGCGGGAGGACAGGGGUGACCAAAGGUUUAUUGUUCAUGCCGACAGCUCCUCCAGGCCCACCAGCUGCACCUGCAGAUGGCAGGAUCCAGCCUGACAUUGUGAGCUCAAAAGAAGAGAGCCAGCAUUCUCCUGAUCUCAUGGAAGAUGGUCAGUCCGGUGCUAACCGGAGUGAGCAUGGCCAGGAUGAAAUUAGGCUGGAAAGGAACCCUAAGGAUGGUGGCAGCAAGGGCAGAGAAACUGAAGAUGACAUGUUGGUGGAGCCAGCUCCAGCUGGGCAAGACACUGGGGGUAAAGCUGAGCCACCUGCCCUGGAGCUGGCCAAGGGGGACACCGAGCCAGAGACUGCUCUGGUCACCAUGGUCCCAUGUCACCCAGCUGGCUCCCCUUGCUCACAUCUGCCCAGCAGCAGUGUAGGUGUCUCUGACACAUCACCUGCCCUGGGUCAGGCCAGUGGCAGCCCCUCAGAAGUGGCAGCUGCUGCACAUGUCACACAGACACCAGAGCUGGCAGAGCCACCACUGAACACCAGCACAGAACCACCUCUCUACCCCUCUCCUGGUGUGACUGCUGCUGAUGUGGUGUCUCUGGGAGGAAGGACUGAAGAGCUCUUUGGUAAGGCCAUUUUUUGGUUAUUACUGGCUGAACUGCCCCCUGACAAUGUGCAA